This 374-nucleotide ribosomal RNA is filed under the name uncultured organism. RNAcentral describes it as "partial 16S ribosomal RNA". It matches the Rfam family "Bacterial small subunit ribosomal RNA", at positions 526 to 896 of the family's 1533-position model. The record is from RNAcentral.
GGGAGGGGGCUAGCGUUGUUCGGAAUUACUGGGCGUAAAGCGCGCGUAGGCGGGCUGGUUAGUUGGGGGGUGAAAUCCCCGAGGGCUCAACCUCGGGAACUGCCCUCAAUACUGCCAGUCUUGAGUUCGAGAGAGGUGAGUGGAAUUCCUAGUGUAGAGGUGAAAUUCGUAGAUAUUAGGAAGAACACCAGUGGCGAAGGCGGCUCACUGGCUCGAUACUGACGCUGAGGCGCGAAAGCGUGGGGAGCAAACAGGAUUAGAUACCCUGGUAGUCCACGCCGUAAACGAUGGGUGCUAGUUGUCAGGCAGCUUGCUGUUUGGUGACGCAGCUAACGCGUUAAGCACCCCGCCUGGGGACUACGGUCGCAAGACUA